RNAcentral lists this ribosomal RNA (467 nucleotides) under uncultured bacterium. RNAcentral's name for it is "partial 16S ribosomal RNA". It matches the Rfam family "Bacterial small subunit ribosomal RNA", at positions 28 to 507 of the family's 1533-position model. The record is from RNAcentral.
GACGAACGCUGGCGGCGUGCUUAACACAUGCAAGUCGAACGGAAAGGCCUCUUUCGGGGGGUACUCGAGUGGCGAACGGGUGAGUAACACGUGAGUAACCUGCCCUUGACUUUGGGAUAACUUCAGGAAACUGGGGCUAAUACCGGAUAGGAGCUCCUGCUGCAUGGUGGGGGUUGGAAAGUUUCGGCGGUUGGGGAUGGACUCGCGGCUUAUCAGCUUGUUGGUGGGGUAGUGGCUUACCAAGGCUUUGACGGGUAGCCGGCCUGGGAGGGUGGCCGGCCACAUUUGGACUGGGAUACGGCCCAGACUCCUACGGGAGGCAGCAGGGGGGAAUAUUGCACAAUGGGUGGGAGCCUGAUGCAGCAACGCCGUGGGCGGGAUGACGGCCUUCGGGUUGGAAACCGCUUUCGCUCAUGACGAAGCUCUGUGUGACGGUAGUGGGUAAAGAAGCACCGGCUAACUACGUG